This 514-nucleotide ribosomal RNA is filed under the name Candida albicans. RNAcentral describes it as "partial large subunit ribosomal RNA". It matches the Rfam family "Eukaryotic large subunit ribosomal RNA", at positions 54 to 544 of the family's 3401-position model. Lineage: Eukaryota; Fungi; Ascomycota; Pichiomycetes; Serinales; Debaryomycetaceae. The record is from RNAcentral.
AGGAAAAGAAACCAACAGGGAUUGCCUCAGUAGCGGCGAGUGAAGCGGCAAAAGCUCAAAUUUGAAAUCUGGCGUCUUUGGCGUCCGAGUUGUAAUUUGAAGAAGGUAUCUUUGGGCCCGGCUCUUGUCUAUGUUCCUUGGAACAGGACGUCACAGAGGGUGAGAAUCCCGUGCGAUGAGAUGACCCGGGUCUGUGUAAAGUUCCUUCGACGAGUCGAGUUGUUUGGGAAUGCAGCUCUAAGUGGGUGGUAAAUUCCAUCUAAAGCUAAAUAUUGGCGAGAGACCGAUAGCGAACAAGUACAGUGAUGGAAAGAUGAAAAGAACUUUGAAAAGAGAGUGAAAAAGUACGUGAAAUUGUUGAAAGGGAAGGGCUUGAGAUCAGACUUGGUAUUUUGCAUGUUGCUCUCUCGGGGGCGGCCGCUGCGGUUUACCGGGCCAGCAUCGGUUUGGAGCGGCAGGAUAAUGGCGGAGGAAUGUGGCACGGCUUCUGCUGUGUGUUAUAGCCUCUGACGAU